UUAGCAUGGAAUAAUGGAAUAGGACGUAUGGUUCUAUUUUGUUGGUUUCUAGGACCAUCGUAAUGAUUAAUAGGGACGGUCGGGGGCAUCAGUAUUCAGUUGUCAGAGGUGAAAUUCUUGGAUUAACUGAAGACUAACUACUGCGAAAGCAUUUGCCAAGGACGUUUUCAUUAAUCAAGAACGAAAGUUAGGGGAUCGAAGAUGAUCAGAUACCGUCGUAGUCUUAACCAUAAACUAUGCCGACUAGGGAUCGGGUGGCGCUAUUUUGCCCACUCGGCACCUUACGAGAAAUCAAAGUUUUUGGGUUCUGGGGGGAGUAUGGUCGCAAGGCUGAAACUUAAAGGAAUUGACGGAAGGGCACCACCAGGAGUGGAGCCUGCGGCUUAAUUUGACUCAACACGGGGAAACUCACCAGGUCCAGACGUAAUAAGGAUUGACAAGUUAGAGACUUCUCUUGAUCUUACGGGUGGUGGUGCAUGGCCGUUUUUAGUCCUUGGAGUGAUUUGUCUGCUUAAUUGCGAUAACGGACGAGACCUUAACCUGCUAAAUAGGGCUGCAAGCAUCUGCUCGUGGGCUCUUCUUAGAGGGACUAUGGGUAUCAAACCCAUGGAAGUUUGAGGCAACAACAGGUCUGUCAUGCCCUUAGACGUUCUGGGCCGCACGCGCGCUACACUGACGGAGCCAGCAAGUAUAUCCUUGGUCGAGAGGCCCGGGUAAUCUCGUGAAACUCCGUCGUGCUGGGGAUAGAGCAUUGCAAU
This 758-nucleotide ribosomal RNA is filed under the name uncultured fungus. RNAcentral describes it as "SSU rRNA". It matches the Rfam family "Eukaryotic small subunit ribosomal RNA", at positions 804 to 1590 of the family's 1831-position model. The record is from RNAcentral. Lineage: Eukaryota; Fungi.